RNAcentral lists this ribosomal RNA (520 nucleotides) under Myriophora sp. H38. Its description in RNAcentral is "partial 16S ribosomal RNA". The stretch from base 388 to 520 matches the Rfam family "Bacterial large subunit ribosomal RNA", at positions 2473 to 2605 of the family's 2925-position model. The record is from RNAcentral. Lineage: Eukaryota; Metazoa; Arthropoda; Insecta; Diptera; Phoridae.
UGUCUUUUAGAAAUUAAUUUAAAGUCUAACCUGCCCACUGAAAUUUUUAAAUGGCCGCAGUAUCCUAACUGUGCAAAGGUAGCAUAAUCAUUAGUCUUUUAAUUGAAGGCUGGAAUGAAUGGUUGGAUGAAAUAUUAACUGUUUCAUAAAAAUUUAUAAUAGAAUUUUAUUUUUUAGUCAAAAAGCUAAAAUUUAAUUAAAAGACGAGAAGACCCUAUAAAUCUUUAUACCUAAAAAAUUACAAUUAUAUAGAUAAUUUAAAUUUUAAUUUUUUAUGGUAUUUUAUUGGGGUGAUAUUAAAAUUUAAUAAACUUUUAAUUUAUAAUUUACAUAAAUUAAUGAAUUUUUGAUCCAUUUAUUAUGAUUAAAAAAUUAAGUUACUUUAGGGAUAACAGCGUAAUUUUUUUAGAGAGUUCAUAUUGAUAAAAAAGAUUGCGACCUCGAUGUUGGAUUAAGAUACAGUUUUAGGUGCAGCAGCUUAAACUUAAAGUCUGUUCGACUUUUAAAUUCUUACAUGAUC